CCUCACCUUCAUGUGCAGGAGGGGAAUGACAGAAAUUGCUACUAAUACUCCUACUAAAAUGUAUUCUAAAUCCAUAAGGGUAUUUUAAGGAUGAAAACAUACUAAAAUAUUCUGGCUCCUGUAAGGUGAGGAUUCAGCAGACAGGAAACUGAGAUCCCAUUAGAAGAAAACUAAGGCUGUCUAGGCAGCUAAAGUCCAGUGAAGUGAAUUAGUUUAUUUUUGUAUAAAUCAGAAGGAUCUGGAUAAGGGCUAGGCUGUGGAAAGAAAAAAAAAAAAAGCGUAUUGGACAGGAAUAAUUUUAGGCAUAGAUUAUCAUAAGCUACUGCUUAAAUGGUUAAAAGAAGAGGCGAAAUACAUCGUAGCAAAAAAUCGCCUUAGAAUAGCAAAGGAUUACAGUUAACAACUUGAAGUGGAAAUAGUUUCUUUGGUUAUCAAAAUAUUAUUUCAUAUUUCUGAAGCCAGUAUGCUCCCAGGUUAGUACAGAAACAGAGAAAUUAUUAGAAAAUUCCUCUUUGUUCGUUUAUAAGUCAAAAAAGCAUUAUCCCUGGUGUUUCUUGAUGCUGGGCUUUCUAGAUAAAGUGUCUGAUGGAUUCUUAAAAAGUUUGCUAGCAGACAGUUGGUCCACAGUAUCUUGCUGUUCAUUGUGCUCUGUGGUGAAAUUAAGCACAGAAUCCUGCAAAACCUUAGUAAUUCUUACUGAAAAGAACAGCCUUUCUGAUGGGCAGACUGAAUCCAAGCUGUCCUUGCAACGAGGGCUCUGUAUGUUGUCUUUGAUUGUAGUUUUUCAUACGGCUCCAUUUGCAGAAGUCAUCACCCUGCCACAAUGAAUGUGCUUUUAAUUUGGACAACAAAAACAAUCCUGUUGUCAGAGUCUUCCUGGCUGCUGCCCAGUCUGGAUGAAAUAGUUCAACUGAGGUGAAUUGGAACCACUGACCUGCUGCAGAUACACACGUCUUCAGACAUGCUGUGUUUUGGCAGCUGUUUCAUUCUGGUCUAUCUCUGUGGAACAUCCUUGUAGCCUUAUCAGGCUCAAUUUCUGGCAAGGUCAGAAGUAUGUUUGGUUUGGUUUUUUUCCCUUAUGAUAUACCAAUUUUUUUUUAUCAUAGUGAAACCCAUUAUGGACAUUUUCUGCAAAUAUGAGCCCUACAGUCAGAUGCUUCAAUGCUGUCUUGCUCUUGUUGCUUGUCAUGAUACAAUGUCCUAGGAGGAAUGUCUGAAAGAGAUAACAUAAAGAAGGAAACAUCUCACAAAAUGUGACUCUCUGUACUCCAUGUUUCACAGAAGUGACAGCUCACCCUAACUGAACUCUAGCAUGUCAGAUGGGAAGCCCAUCCUUGCAUAAGAACACAAGGCUAAUUCCUGAGCAUCCUCAUAAGAGCCUUUUUCAUGUCAUUAAUAGUACAUGGUGCUCAAGUAGUUUUUUUUUUUCCUUGCCUCAAGUAGUGCUUAAUCUGCUUUGUCUCUUCAGGUCCUGUUUUCCAUUGUGCAGAUGUCUGUGUACACACAAAAGCUUAACAAAUAUUAGCACUAAUACUAUGCAUAUGUUUACAUAAACAUAUGCCUAGAAUAUUAUUUACACUUCACAUCUACCAUAGGCUGAUACAAAAGCGUGAUUUUCUUUGUGCUAAAGCAGUGUGUGUGUGAGAGGGCUCUUCUCAAAGGUAGGUGCUUUAAAUAUCCUGCUGCUAGGUUUUUGUUUGGUGGAAUCUCAAUUAGAGAUUGAGAUUUGGAGUUUUGAACAUCUAUUGUACUCUAGUGGACUCAUUAUUUCAGCUACUGGAAGGAGCUUUGUAGUCAAUGAUUGUCAUUUGUAGAACAUUUUCUCGUUCCGUAUUUUCUAACAAACGUAACAGUAGUAUUUCUUCUUGUCACACUGAUUUGUAAGACAGGAAGGAAUUCAGUCUAACUCAUUAAACAGUCUUGUAGUUCCUCCAUUUUGAUGAAUCCUUUGACAUGUUUAUUGGCUUUAUGAAUGUAUUAGUCUUCUGCUCGGUAUAAAGAGAACAUUCCAUAGGAUUUAACUAAAUAACAGUAAUUCCCACAGUAUUCUUGCAAAAAUUUCGAUGUGGAUGCUGCCACUUCCUGAGAAAAGGUAUGAAGUGGUCCGCAGUAUUUUUUACAAGGCUGCUCUGCUUCACAUUAGAAGGAUAAUUGUUCACCAACCUGCCUUUAAAUAGAAGAGUGAAGGUGUGUAGCCUCACUAAACAGCUGUACUAGAUGCAGCAAAACACCCUUUGGCUUCUGUGUGUUUUCAAAUACCCCAAGAAAUUAUAAUGGAGUCAAAUCAACUUCAUCUUCUGUAUCCAAGAAAUCCUACAGUUGGCAUAAAUCACAUAAGUGGAAGAGUUUGUGUAGUUAUUUGACUUCCUGAAUUAGUGGUGCUAAUACUUGUAUUCACCUAAUUUAGACCACAUUAUGAGAUCAUUUAACAGUGAAAUAUCAUUACUGGAUGUUGCUAGUAUAGCCUUUCCAGUAAAGGGUAGAAGAUAGAAUGGUAAUUGAAAAAAUUUACCAUUUCUUAAUCGAAGGAAAGGAGCUCCAAAUUUGUCUAAUAAGUGUCUAAUAGGGAAAAGAAGAAAGUGCACUGUCAAACUGUCUCCUCUUGGGCUGUAACACAAGACCAGUUUAUGAUGUAAACUGUCUUGAGUAAAUGGAAUCUGUAAGAAAAGAAUGUUUUUUCAGCUCAUCUUAUGUUGUAUUCAGACAGCAUGCAUCUGAAACUGUGCCAUAAAACAGAAAGGAUCACAGCUACAUAUGUAUUUCCAGGAUGGUUUUAACUAAUACCGAUUUCAAAAGUAAGGGAGAUAAUGAUGAAAUGCUCAAAUAUGGAUCAGAACUUCUCCAUCCUUUUUUAAAAAGGGAUGGAAAGAUUGGACUUUUUUUCAACGUGGUUUCGAGUUGAUAUUCCUGUCACACGGAACAUGGACAGGGAAAUUGCUGGUAUGAAUGUUGUUCUGAUUCUCUGUGAACUUUUAUAGUGCAAAAGCUGGUAGCAUUCAUUUAUGGUUUAAAAAGCUUGUUCUGAAGAAAAUAGCAGUUCGAUCAUUCCUACUUUGCCUUUUAAGUUUAGUUUUAAGUUUUACUUUCUUGGAAAGAC
Molecule: non-coding RNA, 3097 nt
Organism: Taeniopygia guttata (zebra finch)
Lineage: Eukaryota; Metazoa; Chordata; Aves; Passeriformes; Estrildidae
Source: RefSeq, a predicted model, not a curated record